Molecule: ribosomal RNA, 888 nt
Filed under: uncultured bacterium
Lineage: Bacteria
Description: bacterial SSU rRNA
Rfam family: Bacterial small subunit ribosomal RNA
Source: RNAcentral
AGAGUUUGAUCCUGGCUCAGGAUGAACGCUGGCGGCGUGCUUAACACAUGCAAGUCGAACGAAGCACUCAGGAGCGACUUCGGUCAAUCCUGUUUGACUUAGUGGCGGACGGGUGAGUAACGCGUGAGGAACCUGCCUCGCAGUGGGGAAUAACAGUUGGAAACGACUGCUAAUACCGCAUAAUGCACCGAGAUCGCAUGGUCUUGAUGCCAAAGAUUUAUCGCUGUGAGAUGGCCUCGCGUCUGAUUAGCUAGUUGGUGAGGUAACGGCCCACCAAGGCGACGAUCAGUAGCCGGACUGAGAGGUUGAUCGGCCACAUUGGGACUGAGACACGGCCCAGACUCCUACGGGAGGCAGCAGUGGGGAAUAUUGGGCAAUGGGCGCAAGCCUGACCCAGCAACGCCGCGUGAAGGAAGAAGGCUUUCGGGUUGUAAACUUCUUUUAUUAGGGACGAUAAUGACGGUACCUAUUGAAUAAGCUCCGGCUAACUACGUGCCAGCAGCCGCGGUAAUACGUAGGGAGCAAGCGUUAUCCGGAUUUACUGGGUGUAAAGGGCGUGUAGGCGGGACUGCAAGUCAGAUGUGAAAACUAUGGGCUCAACUCAUAGCCUGCAUUUGAAACUGUAGUUCUUGAGUGCUGGAGAGGCAAAUGGAACUCCUAGUGUAGCGGUGAAAUGCGUAGAUAUUAGGAAGAACACCAGUGGCGAAAGGCGAUUUGCUGGACAGUAACUGACGCUGAGGCGCGAAAGUGUGGGGAGCAAACAGGAUUAGAUACCCUGGUAGUCCACACCGUAAACGAUGGAUACUAGGUGUGGGGGGUCUAACCCCCCUCCGUGCCGCAGUUAACACAUUAAGUAUCCCACCUGGGGAGUACGAUCGCAAGGUUGAA